Non-coding RNA from Pelobates cultripes (western spadefoot toad), 730 nucleotides. NCBI's taxonomy places the organism in Eukaryota, Metazoa, Chordata, Amphibia, Anura, Pelobatidae. The record is from the annotation of a GenBank genome assembly.
CUCUUCUACAUACCUUCCUUCUUUUGUUUUUAAUCUAACUAAUCCUUGUUUUACUUUUCUUUUCUCAUUUAUGUAUCUAAAAAAUGUUUUAUCCCCCUUUUUUACUGACUGUGCUAUUUUCUCUUCUGUGUGUGAUUUGGAAGCUCUUAUAACUUGCUUAGCCUCUUUCUGCCUAAUCUUAUAGAUCAUUUUGUCUUCCUCACUCUGGGUUUUUUUAUAAUUCCUAAAUGCUAACUUUAUGUUUUUAACUAUUUUGGCCACAUCUGCGGAGUACCACAGUGGUUUCUUGAAUUUUUUGCUUUUACUGACAAGCCUAAUUCUGUUGCCUUCAAUAGUGCAACUUUUAAAUAAUCCCAUUUCUCUUGGACUCCAUUUAAAUUGCUUCAGUCUGAUAAUGACUCCUCUACCCAUAUUCUAAUUUUAGAAAAGUCUGUUUUUCUAAAGUCUAAAACUUUUGUUUUUGUGUGGUGUGACUCAGUCACUGUUCUUAUAUUAAACCACACUGACUGAUGAUCACUGGAUCCCAAACUUUCACCUACAGUAAUAUCUGAUACCAAAUCUCCAUUUGUUAACAUUAAAUCUAGCAUGGCCUCUUUACGAGUUGGCUCCUCAACAACUUGUUUUAGAGACAAUCCCAGUAGGGAGUUUAGAAUAUGUGUGCUCCUGGCACAAGUAGCUAAUUUUGUUUUCCAAUUUACAUCAGGAAGAUUAAAGUCACCCAUGAUGAUAA